UCGAUUUGGAAGGAGGUCGCACCAACGGGGAUCAAAGUAGGCUAAUCGAUAAGACAACGUCUUCUCGAUCGAUCAAUCUCGCCUGUCCGGUCCAACAGGCAAACUCGACCUUAAUCUACAGCUAUAUAUAACGGCGACACGUGCGAUGUGGCCGCGGCAUGUUUACCAGCGGCCUGACGGGCAAUGGACGGGAGUAACGCUAUUCUUCCAUGUUUUCGAUCUCACCCUUUUGAUGCAGGAGAUUUUUGCAUCGGUCCAUACGACGGAUAUAAACAUUCAGUUAUUUCUUAGAUUUUUGAGAAAAAUGCCAGCCGUUCAUUCAUUUGACCAGAGAAAAAAAAUCAGAUGAAAAGAAAAGGAAAAAGGAUCAGAUGAAAAAAAACUAGCAUGGAUAUUCAUUAUUUCCCUACAUUUAAAACUGAUUAUAUUUAUUAAAUCAAUUUAAGUCUUGCGGAAGCUACAAUUAUUUUGCAAUCCCCUUUUACAGUGAUGGUUCAUGCAUUGCUCAUAUUCGUCGUGCUACAAAAGCAUAGCGUUUUUCUCUCUCUUAAUUUUAUGUUUUUUCGUGUAUCAUUAUGAUUUACAUGGGCACCAAGGUGAACUAUUGUUAAACCUUCCAGAUCGAUCAUAUUGCGAUCCCGCCUUGCUGAAUAAUAACUGAAUAUUCAACCCUCAAUUCUUUGUUUGACAUUAUUUGUAUGAGAAUAUUUUAUUUUGUAACCAAUAGUUAAAUCACGCAAAAGUUGUAAACACACGAACAAUGAAGUUCUAUUAUGAUUCGGUUGCUUUUGUUUCAAGUAAUUGGUGCUUUCUGAAUAUGCACAAAAAAAAACUUUCAAAUGCCUAUCUAAUGGGAGCUCUAUCGAAAUGUAUGGAUAUCAUAUGUGUAUUCUUACAUUACUUCUAAUGCCUGUACUUACUUUUCAUGAAGUAAUUAUUUGUUCAAAGGUAAUUUUCAGGUCAUGUUCCUUCAACACUACUGGGAACCGCUGAAAAUUGUACAAUGAUGAAGACCACAAGUGUUACCAAAUAAUUAAACAAUGAAGCAGUAUUUUGAAGGACGUGCUUCUAGCAUGGCGGUAAGUCCUCUAGGUGUAAGGCUACAACCUUGGUUCUCACACAAAGGGUCCCUCACUAACUUUGCAAUUGCGCCACCGUGGACAAUGAAGCCGGCAUUUCGGUCCUUCCGGAUGAUCAAGUUUUUUUCUAAUAUUUUCCAGUAAUAAAAAGAUUGUGCUUUCACACACCUCUUUUGUGUUUGCGUGUUUGGAAAAACAA
Triticum dicoccoides is the source of this 1278-nucleotide long non-coding RNA. RefSeq lists it as uncharacterized. NCBI's taxonomy places the organism in Eukaryota, Viridiplantae, Streptophyta, Magnoliopsida, Poales, Poaceae. The transcript has 3 exons. The record is from RefSeq and is a predicted model, not a curated record.